This is an RNA transcript of Capra hircus (goat), 4151 nucleotides long. RefSeq lists it as uncharacterized. Lineage: Eukaryota; Metazoa; Chordata; Mammalia; Artiodactyla; Bovidae. The transcript is spliced from 2 exons. The record is from RefSeq and is a predicted model, not a curated record.
UAAAAGAUUGAAAAAAAAAAAGGUUACAUAUAAAGACCAGUUUAAAGACUUGUUGAGUACUAACUUUAACAUCCAAAUUUCUGAGAAGCAAUACUUCCAUUGGCACUGUUGGACAUAUUCCAUCUUAAUACCAUUUACUCACUAAUAACAGAGUAAACAGUAGUUACAUUAGAAAAUACAUUACACUGAAGACAGACGCAAACAAAACCACAGAGAAAAACAAAACAGUGAAACGUCCCAUAUUUUUACUAUUGUCAAACGUCUUUGAUGGCCAGUAACCACAUCAAGAAGACUCCAAUAAACUAAAAAAUUAAGCUAAGGUAAGAAUCCGGGCUCAUGAUGGCUCCUCUAAUUGUAGUAUCAGGAAAAAGCCAAGACACCCUCCUAUGUCAUGUUUAUUUUCAUACGGUGAAUUGACUGUGGUCUCAAUUGGAGUGACUUCAGUCUUCGCGAAGCUGCAUACAUUUGGGUGACUGAGCUAUAAACCACUUAAGCGUUCAUUCACAGAUAGAUGAAUUAUGUAAUAGAGAACAGCAUUUCCGGUAAGGUAACAGGAAGUCCUUUUACUCUGAACUGCACCCGUCCCACUGACUAAGAAGCAUUCUCAUUUUUCUAAGCUUACAAAUCCGGAUACUUUAAGCCCCGUGAAGAUGCUGUGCGACUUAAAUGUCUAAAAUGCUUUGAAAUCCUGCGAUGAAGAGUCGCAGCACUGCAAAGUGCGAUAAUGAGGCCUUCUAUUUAUUUUUAGUCAGUGUACACUCAGGUGUUUGGCUGGGACCCAUGGCUUCUUCCUGAAGCGUGUAGAGAACAUCUGGGUUACCUGCCUACAGAACAAUGCACCCAAACACAGACCCACGCCACCUCCGGGUCGACAGGCGAGGGAGGAAGCCGGGAGAAGCUCCGCAGCCGCGGCUCCCAGGAAACAUCCCUAAGCUUCCCCAAGCAGCCAGCGGGGGCGGCCUCGACCCCUCCACCAGGCCCCAAAUCAGUCCCGAUGCGGCCGGGGCGCCGACGUCCGCGGCGUGGUCAACUCCUCUCCUGGGGCUGGGAUGCGCUGGGCGCCUUGGUCCAACCUGUUUUUCCAGGGUGGUGACCUCCGCACGAGGAAGGCCGGGCAGGCAGCUGCCUCCCGGGAGCGCCCGGCCUCCGGCACUCGCCGGGGGAGGGAGGAAGGAAGCGUUUUCGUAGUGUUUGCGCAGAGACUAUGGAAAUGAUAUUAGACAAAAAGGAAAUCUGAACGGUUUUCUUGAGUUCAAAAUGGAUCACAAAGCAGCAGAGACAACUUGCAGCAUCAACAACACAUUUGGCCCAGGAACUGCUAGUGAAUGUACAGUGCAGCAUGACUCAAGAAGUUUUGCAAAGGAGAUGAGAGUCUGGAAGGUGAGGAGCAUAGUGGCUGGUCACUGGAAGUUGAUAACAACCAAUUGAGAGCCAUUAUCAAAGCUGAUCCUCUUACAACUACAUGAGAAGUUGCCCAAGAACUCAAUGUUGACCAUUCUAUGGUUGUUUGGGAUUUGAAGCUAAUUGGAAAGGUGAAAAAGCUCAAUAAGUGGGAGCCUCAUGAGCUGACCACAAAGGAAAAAAAAGUCCUUUUCCAGAGUCAUCUUCUCAUAUUCUAUGCAACAACAAUAAACCAUUCCAUGAGACGAAACGAAGAUUUUAUAUGACAACUGUUGAUGACCAGCUCAGUGGUUGGACCAAAAGAAGCUCCAAACCACAUCUCAAAGUCAAACUUGUACCAAAAAAAAGGUCAUGGUUUGGUGGUCUGCUACCUGUCUGAUCCUCUACAGCUUCCUGAAUCCCAGGGAAACCAUUACAUCUGAGAAGUAUGCUCAGCAAAUCGAUGCACUGAUAAAUGUAAUAACAGCAACUGGUAUUGGACAACAGAAAGUGCCCAGUUCUUCUCCAAGACCACAACUGACCACACGGUGCACAACCAACGCUUUGAAAGUUGAAUGAAUUGGGCUCUGAAGUUUUGCCUCAUCUGCCCUAGUCACCUGACCUCUCACCAACUGACUCACUUCUUCAAGCUUCUCGACACGUUUUUUCACGGAAAAUGCUUCCACAACCAGCAGGAGGCAGAAAAUGCUUCCUAAGAGUUCAUCGAAUCCCGAAACACAGAUUUUUAUGCUACAGAAAUAAACUUAUUUCUCCUUGGCAAAAAUGUGAUGGUUGUAUUUUGAUUAAUUAAGAUGUGUUGAGCCUAGUUAUAAUGAUUUAAAUUCAGGGCCUGAAACCAUCAUUAUUUUAUGGUUUGGUACCAUAAAUUACUUUUAUGGUACAGGGAUGGUACCUAAUACCAUCACACAGCUUCAACAAUUAACCCUGAAAAUGUUUCAAGCAGGAAAGUGAUAUGAUUAACUUUAUAUUCAAACCCACCAGCCAACCAGCCCUCUGGCUACUGUGGAGAAGGAGUUGGAGGGAACAAAGUGGACAUGGAGAGACCAGUUGGGAGGCCACUGCAGUAGUCCAGGAGGGACAGUGUCAUGGUGAGGUGAGGAUAAACCAAGGGCAGUGGACAGAUUCUGGAGGAAUGAAUAUGUCAGUGUCAGCUUCCCCCAGAAGCAGACCCCGAGACAAGGAUUUCAGCUCAAGCAGUUUAUUUGGGGUCAGGAAAUACAAACAGGUGAAUGGGGAGGAGAGACAUGGAAGGAAGGAGGGAAGGCAGCCAGUGUCUUCUCAAGCCAGCUACCUUUUUAGCAGGACCAGUGUGCAAUUUGCAGGGCUGGUGCAAAUGAAACUGUGAGGCCUUGUGAUCAUAAAUUAUUGAGAAAUUCAGAAUGAAAACAGCAGAGUGUUUAGCCAAGCUCAGGCCCUUUAGACAAUGGAGUCCCAUGCACAUCGCAAGUCGGUGAAGCCCAUCCUGCCUUUGGGCAACUGGAGCUUAAUCCUGCAGGAAGCUGGGUGAAAUGAGAUAAAACACACAGCUCAGAAGAAUCAGAGCGCCAUCAGUCAAUGGCCAAAGGCUGCUCCGGAGUGUUCCACCUUCCUGGCGUUUCCAGCCUGCCCUGCCUAGAAGAAUGGAUUCCCCUGGCUUCUUCAUGUAGAUCCUGGAGGUUGGAAGUAUGCCAGCGUCAUUACGACAUGGUCUGUUCUUAGGGACACAGGUUGGACAAGGAUAACUCCAAAAGGACACAGAUGACUUUCAGGUUUCUGGCUUAGGCAUUGGAAGGGGUCAGAGGGCCCUUCCUGGAGACAGGGAGCACUGGAAUGGGAGUAGGUGGGGGAAGCACUGGAGAAGGAGGUUGGUUUGAACAUGUUGAGCCUGACUCAUCCACAUGGAGAUGUCAGAAGGCAGUAGGAGUUUUGGCUCUUAGGCUCAGAGGAAAUGUCUGGCUGUGGGUGGAGAUGGAAGUACCAGGGAGAGAGAGCAGUGGGCUCUAGGAUGCCAGGCAUGUCCACAGCCGGGGUGAGAACACUGGUCACCACUCAGGAUGCAGAGUUAACUAAAGCAGAAAGCUGCUGCCUUGGUCCCUGCUCCUCGGACCCUGGCUUCCAGACCAGGGCACUCAGGUGGACACCUGCCUGCAGGUUUGUGCCAUCUCUCUGGAGGGAGGCUGAAGCCAUCACCCUCCGCAGGCUCAAGUAAAUGGCUUCCCGUCCCAGCCUUGGAAGAAACAGGGAGCAGAUGACCUGAAACCAUCAGUGUCUGCUGGCCCCAUAGGCACUCCCCCAGCCCAGGCAGAGGCAGAGAGGGAAAUGUUAAAGUCACCCACGCAAACACUAGUUUUCCCAUCCUUACCUCAAGUUUCUGUUUCAUAGGUUUUCUCUGUGCAAAUGAAACCUUAAGCUUACUGUGAAUAUUAAAACAAUGAAUUUCACCCAGCAAAUGGAGACAGCGAAAUGGCUGAAGUUGUACAGAAUCCAAUUACCAAGAGCAGUUAAAUUGUCCAAAUCUCGGUCUGGGGGUGUUCGUAUGACAUAGAUACUCUUGCAUAUUUCAAUGUCUAUUUAAAGAAAGGGUGCCCAGGCUCCAUUAGUGUGGAGAGAGGCUCCUGGAAGCCACAUUAUUUCUCAUCAUUAAAGUCAGUCCGAGUUUUCCAACAAAAAGGAGGAUAAAUGAAUCGGACCUGGCAGGCCCGGCAGCCAGCUCCUCAGCCCAGUAAUCGCUCCCUUAUUGUUCUUUCCCAUUAAAAUGAUGAUAAAACAAA